This 1152-nucleotide long non-coding RNA is filed under the name Homo sapiens (human). RNAcentral's name for it is "HSALNT0323612". Lineage: Eukaryota; Metazoa; Chordata; Mammalia; Primates; Hominidae. The record is from RNAcentral.
AUCUCACCCAUCAUGACCUCAAGGUCCUUCUUUGAGGGAUCUUGCCAGGAAGUUCAGUUGGCAGGAUGGCAGCAGCAGACACACAGGGUGGUUAAGAACAACAAACACAGGUAACAUCUGCUGAAGGCUUCUACAAGCUGAGCACUAACAGGCAAACCACUUCAAUAGAACAUGGCUGGCGGCCAUAUGGACAUAUUUGAAUCCAACAAUUAAUUCAGCAAAGAAAGCUGCUUGUGGCAAGUUUUGAAUGUGCCAUUCCAGGUAGUGCUUUGAUGAUAAAUGAGGAGAAGAUUGCAAAGAAAAUGACAGCAACAUUUAUAAAAGGGUCUCAUGAAUAUAACACGAUGCCCAGCACAUAGAAAGCAUACAAUAAGUGUUUGUUGGAUAACUGUGGACAGUUCAGUCGACCAGCAAAUUCCUCUUAGGACUCUAGAUGCACGGAGAGUGGCCAGAUUAAUACAGACUGGCAAAAGAAGAACUUGGCAAAGUGAUUUGAUCACACACUUCUCACCCUCACAUCUCCUGACAGUUCCCCUAAUCCCUGCCCCACUUCCCCGCCAUGGGCUUCCAUCAGGAAACUCCUUGAUAUCAUCUUCGAGAAGAAAACUGAGGCAUAGAACAUUUGGGAAUGAAUCUAAGACUACACAUCUAGAAUAGCAGAGUUACAGGAAUGCAGAUGUGAUUCCUAUGGAUGAGGGUAACCUAGAGGCUAGAAGAACAAUAGGACAGAAGAAGCCUGGGUCCCUGAACAACCUUGUGGAGCAUAGACACCUACGUGGCCUGGACUGCCAGCUCACAAUGGGCCUCUCUGUGAGAGAAGGAAACUUCCCUCUUGUUUAAGCAACUGUGCUUUUGAGAAUCUCUUGGUCUAUACCCUAAUGAAUAAGGCCAUCAUAAAUGGAUAUCAAAGUAAGGAAAUUUGUGUAAAUGAUUUAAUAAAACAUUACCUCAGGUAUGAAAUAAUUCUACCUUGUGCCUUGACAACAUCAGGUAUUAUUCAUGCCCUUUUCUCUCCCUGUAAUGUCUCUUAUCCACGGGUAGAAAUUAUAUUUUCCAUCUAAGGUUUGCUCAAAUAUUAUCUACUUAAGUAGCUCUUACCAAUUUUGCCUCUCCUCCUGAGCUGACCCUAUGCCUUCUAUGCUGUUCCAGGUA